GGGGAGUUCAUCGCCAGGAUUGACGGGGCAUGAGACAGAGAAGGCUCUGACUGCACUGGACUGGGCAAAUGCAUGUGAAUAUGGCUUGGUUCUGAAUUCAAAAGGAAGCUGCAUUCAGGGAUAAACUUACCCUCUCCCCGUCAUCUCCGGGUGCUCCUGGUGGACCUGAUGGGCCUGGAUCACCCUAGGAAUAUUGUCGCCAGGAUGCUGUGGAAAUGAGAACUUACCCUGUGCCCCUUCUCACCAGGCAAACCAGCCAACCCAUCAAAACCUCGGUCACCCUACAAGAAAAGACAAGGCAGCAUGAGCAUUGUCCCUGGUGGUCCUGGUAACCCAUCUGCUCCUGGAAGACCUG
Molecule: long non-coding RNA, 355 nt
Organism: Mauremys reevesii (Reeves's turtle)
Lineage: Eukaryota; Metazoa; Chordata; Testudines; Geoemydidae
Exons: 4
Source: RefSeq, a predicted model, not a curated record